Molecule: ribosomal RNA, 459 nt
Filed under: Cellulosimicrobium funkei
Lineage: Bacteria; Bacillati; Actinomycetota; Actinomycetes; Micrococcales; Promicromonosporaceae
Description: bacterial SSU rRNA
Rfam family: Bacterial small subunit ribosomal RNA
Source: RNAcentral
CGGCCUGAGAGGGCGACCGGCCACACUGGGACUGAGAGCACGGCCCAGACUCCUACGGGAGGCAGCAGUGGGGAAUAUUGCACAAUGGGGAAAGCCUGAUGCAGCGACGCCGCGUGAGGGAUGAAGGCCUUCGGGUUGUAAACCUCUUUCAGCAGGGAAGAAGCGCAAGUGACGGUACCUGCAGAAGAAGCGCCGGCUAACUACGUGCCAGCAGCCGCGGUAAUACGUAGGGCGCAAGCGUUGUCCGGAAUUAUUGGGCGUAAAGAGCUCGUAGGCGGUUUGUCGCGUCUGGUGUGAAAACUCGAGGCUCAACCUCGAGCUUGCAUCGGGUACGGGCAGACUAGAGUGCGGUAGGGGAGACUGGAAUUCCUGGUGUAGCGGUGGAAUGCGCAGAUAUCAGGAGGAACACCGAUGGCGAAGGCAGGUCUCUGGGCCGCAACUGACGCUGAGGAGCGAAAG